AGGGUAAUAGUUAAAAAUAACAUUUAAUUUGCAUUUAAAAAGUAUUAACAUCAAUAUAAGUUAAUUUACCUUA
This 73-nucleotide transfer RNA is filed under the name Xinidium sp. XIN01. Its description in RNAcentral is "tRNA-Ala". Lineage: Eukaryota; Metazoa; Arthropoda; Insecta; Coleoptera; Scarabaeidae. The record is from RNAcentral.